GCAUGCUUUCCGCCACGCCCCUCCGAUUCAGCUGACUGUGAGGGCGAGCAAAGAUCGUAUAUUGUUAAAGAAGCACGUAUAAAGUAGCCCUUCUACUCGCCCCGCAAGUGAGAGCUGUUGCCGUUUUUUCUAAACUGGAGGACAUUUCUGGUACCGGGAGAAUGGCGUGGAGUGAGACGUCUUGUGUGUUUCUCCAGCUCGACAGCGCCUGUUAGGAUGCAAGAAAACUAAGCAGCAGUUAACUACGAGUUUUGCAGUACUUUUUUCCCCAACAAGAUUCAGUAACAGAUACUGUGUAACUGAUUAAUGCCAAAUACAACGUACCAACUAUACAAUCCACACUCCAAAUACAGAUUGUACCUGACGUGUGAGUCUAAUGGUGGCUACCCAAAAGGUCAACUUCGCUGGUUUGAUCAGGACAACAAAGACUGGACAAAGAGCUCUAAAAUGGAGGCCAAGCUGACAGAAAGUGGUCUGUUUCACCUCUCUAGCAAGCUGAGUUUGCUGCAAGGAUCGGUUUUCUCCAAAUAUACCUGCGUGGUGUUCAAUGCCAGUGGAGGCAAAGAGGAUGAGGCCACAUUUGAAGUUCUAAAAGAACCAGAAACUUGAGAAGUCGCUGCCUUCAAAUGGGGUCGUGUUUACCGCCUUCACAAGAAGAGUCCAUGUGAACGCCACCCUCUAGUGGUAGACACAUCCUUGUUAGUGGAACACUAGUUGUGGCGUAUUGGCUGGCGUUUUCAGACCAUGGAAGUUCAUUUUUCGGUGGAUGCAGUAGAUGGCUGAUGCACUCCUGUCUCAAACAGUGCAACAACACUAAAAGCAAAGAAGAAUAGAUCAAUUUCCUCUUUUGACCUCCUUGAUGAUGUUCUCUGUGAUAAACAUAUAAAUAGUGUCUUUCGGUGAAGCGAUGCUUGAACCUCAUACAGGCCCUGGGCAGCUCCUCAGAGUGUUGUGGGUUUUUACUCUGCCCAGAGUAGGUGGAUCCUCCUUCCAAUGAGACCCUUUCGUACUCAAUCUACUAGACUUCUGAUGUCUCAUCAGAGGAAUCCUCUAUUCCAUCAGUGUAGUCUUCAUGUGGGGCUACCGAAACAACCAGCAUUGAAUACACUGGGAAAGUUUACAUAGAGGUGCAUCUGUGUGUCCUUGUAGUUGACGUAGUCAAUUGCAUUAAUGACGUAGUGUUGAAUGAACAGAAGGGACAUUGUGGGCUAUAAAAGACGAUGCAGGGGGCUCUGAAAAGCAGUUUGUUCCAGGACCUCUCGGGUAUACUUUUUG
Siniperca chuatsi (mandarin fish) is the source of this 1275-nucleotide long non-coding RNA. RefSeq lists it as uncharacterized. Lineage: Eukaryota; Metazoa; Chordata; Actinopteri; Centrarchiformes; Sinipercidae. The transcript is spliced from 7 exons. The record is from RefSeq and is a predicted model, not a curated record.